Molecule: ribosomal RNA, 749 nt
Filed under: unidentified microorganism
Description: bacterial SSU rRNA
Rfam family: Bacterial small subunit ribosomal RNA
Source: RNAcentral
ACAUGCAAGUCGAGCGAAUGNGAUUAAGAGCUUGCUCUUAUGAAGUUAGCGGCGGACGGCGUGAGUAACACGUGGGUAACCUGCCCAUAAGACUGGGAUAACUCCGGGAAACCGGGGCUAAUACCGGAUAACAUUUUGAACUGCAUGGUUCGAAAUUGAAAGGCGGCUUCGGCUGUCACUUAUGGAUGGACCCGCGUCGCAUUAGCUAGUUGGUGAGGUAACGGCUCACCAAGGCAACGAUGCGUAGCCGACCUGAGAGGGUGAUCGGCCACACUGGGACUGAGACACGGCCCAGACUCCUACGGGAGGCAGCAGUAGGGAAUCUUCCGCAAUGGACGAAAGUCUGACGGAGCAACGCCGCGUGAGUGAUGAAGGCUUUCGGGUCGUAAAACUCUGUUGUUAGGGAAGAACAAGUGCUAGUUGAAUAAGCUGGCACCUUGACGGUACCUAACCAGAAAGCCACGGCUAACUACGUGCCAGCAGCCGCGGUAAUACGUAGGUGGCAAGCGUUAUCCGGAAUUAUUGGGCGUAAAGCGCGCGCAGGUGGUUUCUUAAGUCUGAUGUGAAAGCCCACGGCUCAACCGUGGAGGGUCAUUGGAAACUGGGAGACUUGAGUGCAGAAGAGGAAAGUGGAAUUCCAUGUGUAGCGGUGAAAUGCGUAGAGAUAUGGAGGAACACCAGUGGCGAAGGCGACUUUCUGGUCUGUAACUGACACUGAGGCGCGAAAGCGUGGGGAGCAAACAGGAUUA